This 2672-nucleotide ribosomal RNA is filed under the name Klebsiella pneumoniae. RNAcentral's name for it is "bacterial LSU rRNA". It matches the Rfam family "Bacterial large subunit ribosomal RNA". RNAcentral also lists the same sequence under 1 other name. Lineage: Bacteria; Pseudomonadati; Pseudomonadota; Gammaproteobacteria; Enterobacterales; Enterobacteriaceae. The record is from RNAcentral.
CACUAUCGUUAACUGAAUACAUAGGUUAACGAGGCGAACCGGGGGAACUGAAACAUCUAAGUACCCCGAGGAAAAGAAAUCAACCGAGAUUCCCCCAGUAGCGGCGAGCGAACGGGGAGCAGCCCAGAGUCUGAAUCAGCUUGUGUGUUAGUGGAACGGUCUGGAAAGUCCGACGGUACAGGGUGAUAGUCCCGUACACCAAAAUGCACAGGCUGUGAACUCGAAGAGUAGGGCGGGACACGUGGUAUCCUGUCUGAAUAUGGGGGGACCAUCCUCCAAGGCUAAAUACUCCUGACUGACCGAUAGUGAACCAGUACCGUGAGGGAAAGGCGAAAAGAACCCCGGCGAGGGGAGUGAAAAAGAACCUGAAACCGUGUACGUACAAGCAGUGGGAGCACCUUCGGGUGUGACUGCGUACCUUUUGUAUAAUGGGUCAGCGACUUAUAUUCUGUAGCAAGGUUAACCGUAUAGGGGAGCCGCAGGGAAACCGAGUCUUAACUGGGCGUUAAGUUGCAGGGUAUAGACCCGAAACCCGGUGAUCUAGCCAUGGGCAGGUUGAAGGUUGGGUAACACUAACUGGAGGACCGAACCGACUAAUGUUGAAAAAUUAGCGGAUGACUUGUGGCUGGGGGUGAAAGGCCAAUCAAACCGGGAGAUAGCUGGUUCUCCCCGAAAGCUAUUUAGGUAGCGCCUCGUGAAUUCAUCUUCGGGGGUAGAGCACUGUUUCGGCUAGGGGGUCAUCCCGACUUACCAACCCGAUGCAAACUACGAAUACCGAAGAAUGUUAUCACGGGAGACACACGGCGGGUGCUAACGUCCGUCGUGAAGAGGGAAACAACCCAGACCGCCAGCUAAGGUCCCAAAGUCAUGGUUAAGUGGGAAACGAUGUGGGAAGGCACAGACAGCCAGGAUGUUGGCUUAGAAGCAGCCAUCAUUUAAAGAAAGCGUAAUAGCUCACUGGUCGAGUCGGCCUGCGCGGAAGAUGUAACGGGGCUAAACCAUGCACCGAAGCUGCGGCAGCGACACUAUGUGUUGUUGGGUAGGGGAGCGUUCUGUAAGCCUGCGAAGGUGACCUGUGAGGGUUGCUGGAGGUAUCAGAAGUGCGAAUGCUGACAUAAGUAACGAUAAAGCGGGUGAAAAGCCCGCUCGCCGGAAGACCAAGGGUUCCUGUCCAACGUUAAUCGGGGCAGGGUGAGUCGACCCCUAAGGCGAGGCCGAAAGGCGUAGUCGAUGGGAAACAGGUUAAUAUUCCUGUACUUGGUGUUACUGCGAAGGGGGGACGGAGAAGGCUAUGUUAGCCGGGCGACGGUUGUCCCGGUUUAAGCAUGUAGGCUGGUUGUCCAGGCAAAUCCGGAUAAUCAAGGCUGAGGUGUGAUGACGAGGCACUACGGUGCUGAAGUAACAAAUGCCCUGCUUCCAGGAAAAGCCUCUAAGCAUCAGGUAACAUCAAAUCGUACCCCAAACCGACACAGGUGGUCAGGUAGAGAAUACCAAGGCGCUUGAGAGAACUCGGGUGAAGGAACUAGGCAAAAUGGUGCCGUAACUUCGGGAGAAGGCACGCUGGUGUGUAGGUGAAGUCCCUGCGGAUGGAGCUGAGACCAGUCGAAGAUACCAGCUGGCUGCAACUGUUUAUUAAAAACACAGCACUGUGCAAACACGAAAGUGGACGUAUACGGUGUGACGCCUGCCCGGUGCCGGAAGGUUAAUUGAUGGGGUUAUCCGUAAGGAGAAGCUCUUGAUCGAAGCCCCGGUAAACGGCGGCCGUAACUAUAACGGUCCUAAGGUAGCGAAAUUCCUUGUCGGGUAAGUUCCGACCUGCACGAAUGGCGUAAUGAUGGCCAGGCUGUCUCCACCCGAGACUCAGUGAAAUUGAACUCGCUGUGAAGAUGCAGUGUACCCGCGGCAAGACGGAAAGACCCCGUGAACCUUUACUAUAGCUUGACACUGAACAUUGAGCCUUGAUGUGUAGGAUAGGUGGGAGGCUUUGAAGCGUGGACGCCAGUCUGCGUGGAGCCAACCUUGAAAUACCACCCUUUAAUGUUUGAUGUUCUAACGUUGGCCCCUUACCGGGGUUGCGGACAGUGUCUGGUGGGUAGUUUGACUGGGGCGGUCUCCUCCCAAAGCGUAACGGAGGAGCACGAAGGUUAGCUAAUCCUGGUCGGACAUCAGGAGGUUAGUGCAAUGGCAUAAGCUAGCUUGACUGCGAGCGUGACGGCGCGAGCAGGUGCGAAAGCAGGUCAUAGUGAUCCGGUGGUUCUGAAUGGAAGGGCCAUCGCUCAACGGAUAAAAGGUACUCCGGGGAUAACAGGCUGAUACCGCCCAAGAGUUCAUAUCGACGGCGGUGUUUGGCACCUCGAUGUCGGCUCAUCACAUCCUGGGGCUGAAGUAGGUCCCAAGGGUAUGGCUGUUCGCCAUUUAAAGUGGUACGCGAGCUGGGUUUAGAACGUCGUGAGACAGUUCGGUCCCUAUCUGCCGUGGGCGCUGGAGAAUUGAGGGGGGCUGCUCCUAGUACGAGAGGACCGGAGUGGACGCAUCACUGGUGUUCGGGUUGUCAUGCCAAUGGCACUGCCCGGUAGCUAAAUGCGGAAGAGAUAAGUGCUGAAAGCAUCUAAGCACGAAACUUGCCCCGAGAUGAGUUCUCCCUGAGACUUUAAGUCUCCUGAAGGAACGUU